UCUACCCUCACGCGACUUCCCGAUACUCCUAACUCUACGUCUAUUUCUUUCUUUAUUCCUCCAAUUAAUACCGUAUUUUAUCUCAUUGAACGAAUAAUACAGUAUUUUAUCUUAUUGAACGAUUGUGAUGAUAAAGAACAGAAAGGAGAGCCUGUGUAGAGGCUACAAACUCUCAGGGUUACAAACAGGACUGCACAGGCCCAAAGUAGCAAUGUAGACCAAUCGUUGGAACCUACUGAGGAUCAAAACAACUCGCAACCACCUUUUUUAGGUCAGACUUAGGCAAUCAACAUAACGUGGAGGGUGCAAACUCUCAGGGUUACAAACAGGACUGCUCUUAUGACAUGUACUAGCCCCCUACGAGAAAAAUAAGCAGAUAUAGGGAUCAUUGUGUACUUUCUUGAGUGCAACUCGCCUCCAACCAGAGGGUGUGACGUCACACACUGCAUUUAUCUAGCAUCAUGUGGGGCGUUGCCUAUCCCUUUCAGAGAUCACCUCAAGUUAUGUCUUGGUGUCUUUUAUCGUCCACCGUCCUCAGAAAAUUCUAUUGAUACUUUCUCAGAUGCACUGCUCACUAUAAAUCAGUCUUGUCUAUCCGAUUUAAUUAUUAUUGGUGACUUCAAUGUUAAUUUCCAUCCUUCGCAUUACAUGUAUGCACACUUGUGUGUAAUUUUUCGGUAUCACAAAUUGUCAAGUGUCCCACUCGUUUUUCGGGCACAGGCCAUUCAUCAACUAUUGAUUUGGUGCUGGUUUCAAGGCCGAACAAUGUGGAAAAUUGUACAUCCAUACCUAAACUAACCAAUUCAGAUCACUUGGGUUUAUUCUUCACCCUGAAAAAAGAAAAAAUACUGUCCCCUCAAAGAAAGAGUUAUCAGAAGACAAGUUUGGAGAUAUUCAUUAGCAGACUAAUUGGGAAAUGGAGUUCUACUCGAAUGACAUUGAUUCCUGUGUGUCAGCUUGGAACUCGUCCUUCCUGCAAAUCAUGGAAGUUAGUAUACCCAUUUUCAAGUAUCAAGGUUAAAGGAAAAAUUCCUUGGAUCAACAAGGAAAUUAUCAGAGCGAUAACCAAGAGAAAUAUACUUUUUAAGAGAUCUAAAUUAUCGAAUCAAGCUGGUGAUGCUAAGAGGUUUAAAAACCAAAGAAAUCUUGUGGUAUCUAUGAUUCGAAAAAGUAAGAAGAACUUCGACAGAUUGAAUACUAAAGAUGAUAACUGUUUUGGAAAACAAUAAAAACCCUGAAUGGUAACACUUGUUCGAUCCCUACACUCAAAGAGAAUGGCAGGACAUUUGACAAACCAAUUGAAAAAGCCACUGCACUUAACAUUUUUUUCCAUUCUUGUUUCAAUCUCAAGUGUCCUCCACUAGAAAUAGAUGACUCCGCUGACCAAUUUGCUGACCUACACCCUUCUGAUUGCCCAAAAGAUCUGCUGUGUACAGAACAGGAAGUAUAUGAAUAUCUUGAGAAUUUCAGGGGGCUGAAUAUUCACUCCUAGAAACUGAUGAAGGAGAGAAGAAAAGGAAGCAAAUGUGUUUAUUUUACAGUCACAGAGCAAAGGUCAGCAGCUCAAGGAAAAAAAGAGAGGACGAGAGUCAGCAACCUCGCCUUGGCCUAUCAGACUCUGGCAAGGCUCAGAAAUGAAUAAUGCAUGAGCAGAUACUUCCAAAAGGUUUGGGAACUUUCGAAGUACUUUGGAUGCAGAGAUGAAGCGCCUUCAUGGAACGGGUUUAGUAGGAUACGUCCCAAAGGCUACCAGCUUUAUGCCAGACGCUGAUGAACUGUCUGGGACUGCAUGACAUGGACCUAGACGCUAGCGCUAUGGACCAGGACGGUGAAAGACCAGGCACUGUGUGACUCUGAUCGUUCACCGAGCCACACCUUCUCUCUGAUGUCAACAGUAUCAGGGGGUGGACCGUCUGGUGGAAGUGGGUCUGUCCAACGAUGACGGAGAUGAACUUCCUGAUGACAAAAGUGUGUCAUCGGAUGAUGGACUGUCCGGCGACGAUGAAAAUUUGUUGAUGUCUGACAGUGAAGGUUCCCGUACCCAAGAGUGGUGAUCCAUCACUUCAAAAAACACGUGAAAGCACUUCUGGAGGAGCACAUGAAAUUACAUUCACCAAUUUCCCCAAGGCAAUGGGGCUUUAUGUCGUCACGUUCAACUGUGUCAGCUCUCAUUCAAGUGAUUGAUGACUGGAGCAGGGCUGUCGACGGGGGAUAUGAGGCAGCCAUCGUUCCAAUCCUCUAAAUGUGAAGUUCAUUGCCUGGCAACUGAGGGACAUUUUUCUUAUUACAAGAAUUUUAGAAGGCCAGCGAAUAUGUAGGUCCUUUGUUCCUUAAAGAUGAAGAUGUCAUCAAAGUAAGGUCCCUGUUGGGACACAGUGCCUGCCCCAACCACCCCCAAUCUGCUUUUCUGAUCUAUUAUAAUCGAUAAUUAGAAGGAGAAAUGGAUGCAUUAUAAAAUGUGUAUAUAUGGCCAGAGAAAAGACAACAAGGAUGAAUGGAGUAUAUCUAUAGUAAGUGCGCAGUAUCUGGCUGGACCAGCUAGUCACACUAUGAUUAUAAUAUAGUAUCUAUACUGAGAGGAGUGUCACUCCUGUAUAGAGAUAAGAGAUGCCAAGAGGCAGCAAUAUGCUACCGUGAGGUAACGGCCCCAAUCCAGGAAUUAAUGGAGCAGCUGUGCGCUCAAGUAAGUACAGUGUACAGAGAGAAAAGAUUCCAAGAUGCGACAAUGCUAGACGUAGCUAUGAAAAAUAAUGGUUCGUUGUGGAUGCUCAUUUGAGAUUAUAGUAUGGCGAGUGGCAUACCACGGUCUUAUGACGACAGUAUAGUAAUUAUAGUAUGACAUUUUGAAAGGAAAAAUUUAUUUUACAACACAAGAAUUUUAGAUGGCCAGCGCCAAAGCUCAAAAGCUCAAAAGGAAAACAGGAGUACCUGUUUUACAUGUGCUCAUUCGCCACUUCUGCGGUAGGUGAUAUUCUCACACUCGACAUGUUUAUUAAAUUGACAGUGAUGGUCUGUAUGACACUGUGUAUUAUACACCUGUGCAGGUCCUUCGUUCUCUGAGAACUAUUAUGAAUACAAGGCAGUGGUUUUGAAUGGUCGUCGCCUGGUCCCUCCACCCCAUCAAGUGUGAGCAUUAGCAGUUUUCACACUGUUUUUCCCAAUGUAGGCAUUGUCAUUUUUGUGUCGAAGCCCUCAUACGAUAAAACAGUUUAACAGAUGUGAGAGAUAGGAAUAACUGGACUCUUCUUCACUCAUACUCUGAUGAAUGUAACUAAUCAUAAGUUUAAAAUAAAAAUGAAGAGACAAAUGUUCUUGAAGCAGUCAAACGCAAACAAAAAAAUCAUGCGUGUAUAUACAUUUGUUGUGGGUUUAUGGUUUACACACACAUUGAGUGUCAGUGAACACAGAUAUGCACAGUUGUGCACAUUAAAACACACUAAAAAUUACCAGUGAAAAGUAGUGCGCUAUUUAACACACCAUUUUAACAAUGUAUAUAGUGCAACAAGGCAUACACUGCAAAAAAGGCUUCUUUAAAACAAAAUAAUAAUUAUUAUCAUUAUUUUUAUAAAAAUGGAUGAAUGGAGUAUAUCUGGAUGCGAUACUCAUUCAUAAAGAUGAAGAUGUCAUCAAAGUAAGGACACGGUGCCUGCCCCAACCACCCCCUGAUCAAGAAGGAGAAAUGGAUGUGUCCAGACAAUAUGUGCUAACUGUGAGAAAAGCUCUGUCAAGUGUCCCGAAUGUCCCGAAUGUACAUGUGAGCACGUGAAUCCCUUCAAUAAAAAAAAACAGUACAAGUAUUAUGCAGAAAAGGGCAUGAUAUAAACCAAGAACGUGAUGGUCAACAAAGUAUACCUCUUACACUGGUGGUGUGCAUUUUAAGUCUAUGUUCCAUUUUAUUGUUUGUUUAUUCUUGCAGAGUGUUUCUGAAGAUGUUUCCACCAGUACCAAGGAUGACAGUGGAUUGGCUUAUAGCAGCUCAGGUGUUGAUGUCGAAGACAAUACAGUUAGUAUAUCACUCCAUAUGGCGUAUGUUUUUUACAGAGUGACAGUGGUAACGAGAGAACCAUCAUCAUUAAUCAUACCGUGUUAUAAUGUAUAUACCUUUGUUCAGAGGCAACUGAUGAUGAUGGCCAGACUGCUCUUGACGUUGCUUAUUGGAGUGAUCACACUGAAAUUGUUGACUGAAAUUACCUCCAAUCUCUACCAAACUACGAUUAUGAGUACAUGUUGUGGUCCAACCCUAACCCUGCCAACAUGACAACGAUAAAAGAAAUGACUGGUGCUCCUCGGAAGGCUUAUUGGAGUGAUCACACUGAAAUUGUUGACUGAAAUUACCUCCAAUCUCUACCAAACUACGAUUAUGAGUACAUGUUGUGGUCCAACCCUAACCCUGCCAACAUGACAACGAUAAAAGAAAUGACUGGUGCUCCUCGGAAGGCAUACAGGUUCGUAAAAGCUGUCAGCUUAAGUUACUAAAUUUUAUAGUCGUGUGGCUGAUGCCGAUAGUAUCAAGCCAUCAUUCCUCUCUCCGUAUACUGGAAAACUUGUGCACUUCGUCAUUUGCCCCAGCCACCAGGUUUGUAGUAACGAACGUGUGUACUCACGCGCUCACACAGCUGAAAAAUAUGAUUUCAACUCUCUUUCAAUCAAGACCCGCAAAACGUGGGGGUACAAGAGCAUUCAAAGUCGGUAAUGUCACCUUUGGUUGGUCGAUCAUUGAAGAUAUGUACUCAAGAGAAGUAUCUCGUAUCCAAGCUAGCCAGUGCUCAAGAGUGCCCAAACUCAAAAAGAGCUACAUAAUUCGAGACUCAUGGACCCGACUAAACGUAUUACCGUCCAAGGUUAUGCAGGUACAAAAGUGAGAGUUUUUGAGAAAGAUGGAACUACAAUAUGCAGAAUGACGGAAGGAUUCGAAUUCUUCACACAGUGGGCAAAAGAGAGCGAAAAAGAUGAAGAUAAACGAACAUUUUUGGCAUGGCAGACCUGGGAUUUGAUGCGUAUCAUGUGGUAUGGCCUAGUUAAUGACUUCACUACCUCUAACCCUGGCUACUAUAUCAACCCCAGAAGAGUAAAUGGCAGCGCUACAGAGACAAUUUUUGGACAGCUAAAGCAGACCACAAGCAGUAAUCUAACCGCAGCUAAUUAUGAAACAGCUAAGGCAACUCUCCUUACAAAACAACAGUCAAGUUCCAAAGACGGUGAACAGUAUCGAUCAGCUAAACUGUAUUUGAGACAGUCGAACUUAUCAAAGGAGACCAAUUAUAUACAAUAAUUAUUUACCGUCACUUGAAUACAAUUUUAUUGUGUGUGUUUUUUUAAACUUUCAAUUCAUCUCUUAAGGAUACACUACCGUCUACUGAUUUGUUUUGGGUAAUGCAUGACAGUUUUCCUAUAUUA
This is a long non-coding RNA of Halichondria panicea, 5397 nucleotides long. RefSeq lists it as uncharacterized. NCBI's taxonomy places the organism in Eukaryota, Metazoa, Porifera, Demospongiae, Suberitida, Halichondriidae. The transcript has 7 exons. The record is from RefSeq and is a predicted model, not a curated record.